This is a long non-coding RNA of Apodemus sylvaticus (European woodmouse), 522 nucleotides long. RefSeq lists it as uncharacterized. Lineage: Eukaryota; Metazoa; Chordata; Mammalia; Rodentia; Muridae. The record is from RefSeq and is a predicted model, not a curated record. The transcript is spliced from 2 exons.
CGCAGCACGUGCUAAUUAAGCAGAGACUCGAGCUUCCUACAAGUUCGGACCUUAGUGGGAUUGGAACUUGGAGAACUGAGAAACAAAAACGGGCGUGAUUUUACCAGCUGAAGGCAGUUUACGUUCGGAGUUCCGCAGACUCUUCAGAGGCUGUAAAAAUGUCGGAGUCACGAAAGCCUGCAAAGAGCUGUUGCUCUCCUUGCUGCUGCUGCUGCUGCUGCCGUCCCUGCCCAUGCUGCAGCUGCUACUCCUGCUGCUGCUGCUGCUGCUUGUUGCUGAUUGUCGCUGUUGCUGGUUGCUGUUUACUGUUUGCUGCUGGCUGGAUUGCUGGAUUGCUGAUCGCCAGUCGGAGAAAUCCUGAGGCUGAAGAUCCAACUUGCCCCAAGGAACAAGAUGACCCGAAGAAGAAGUAGUCUAAUGAUUUCAAUACCCCCUUUCCCCCUCUGACCUUUCUCUCUUACCUUAUGUUGGGGGAUUGGGAGGGUGGCAGGAAAAACAGCCCAAUAAAGUAGCCAAAAGUUA